RNAcentral lists this ribosomal RNA (619 nucleotides) under uncultured bacterium. RNAcentral's name for it is "bacterial SSU rRNA". It matches the Rfam family "Bacterial small subunit ribosomal RNA", at positions 257 to 872 of the family's 1533-position model. The record is from RNAcentral.
UUAACGGACCACCAAGCGAUGAUCAGUAGCCGGCUGAGAGGCUGUCCGGCCACACGGGCACUGAGACACUGGCCCGACUCCUACGGGAGGCUGCAGUCGCGAAUUUUUCACAAUGGACGCAAGUCUGAUGAAGCCACGCCGCGUGCGGGAUGAAGGCCCUCUGGGUUGUAAACCGCUGUCAGGGGAGGGGAAACGUACGGUAUAAAUAGUGCCGUGCUUGACUGCUCUCCAAAGGAAGCCCCGGCAAAACAUGUGCCAGCAGCCGCGGUAAUACAUGUGGGGCAAGCGUUGUUCGGAAUCACUGGGCAUAAAGGGUGCGUAGGUGGUCUGUUAAGUCAGGGGUGAAAGUCUGUGGCCCAACCAUAGAAUUGCCUGUGAUACUGGCGGACUUGAGUGCGUAAGGGGUAACCGGAACGAGCAGUGUAGCGGUGAAAUGCGUAGAUAUUGCUCGGAAGGCCAGAGGCGAAGGCGGGUUACUGGUGCGCAACUGACACUGAGGCACGAAAGCGUGGGGAGCAAACAGGAUUAGAUACCCUGGUAGUCCACGCCGUAAACUAUGGACACUAGAUGGGUGGUGAGCUAUCGCUGCCUGUCGGAGGAAAUUUGGUAAGUGUCCCGC